GGAGCAGGCGAGGCGGUCGCUUCUUCCUCUGAAAAUGAGGAAGGAGAGGAAAGUCCGAACUCCAAAGGGCAGGAUAGUCGCUAACCGCGACUCCGGGCAACCGGAGGAAAGUGCCACAGAAAAGAUACCGCCUGGCUUAAAAAAGUCAGGUAAGGGUGAAAAGGUGAGGUAAGAGCUCACCGCUCUGGUGGUGACACCAGAGGCCUGGUAAACCCUAUCCGGAGCAAGACCAAAUCGACUCCGCUUGAGGAUGGCCCGUCCGAUGGAGUGGGUAGGUCGCUUGAACUGCUGAGCAAUCAGCAGGGUAGACAAAUGACCGCCGCUGCCUCUGGCAGUAACUGAAUUCGGCUUAUGACCUGCUCCAGCC
RNAcentral lists this RNase P RNA (367 nucleotides) under Candidatus Aminicenantota bacterium. RNAcentral's name for it is "RNase P RNA component class A". It matches the Rfam family "Bacterial RNase P class A". Rfam says of the family: Ribonuclease P (RNase P) is a ubiquitous endoribonuclease, found in archaea, bacteria and eukarya as well as chloroplasts and mitochondria. Its best characterised activity is the generation of mature 5'-ends of tRNAs by cleaving the 5'-leader elements of precursor-tRNAs. Lineage: Bacteria; Candidatus Aminicenantota. The record is from RNAcentral. RNAcentral also lists the same sequence under 2 other names.